UGGGGAAUAUUGCACAAUGGGCGCAAGCCUGAUGCAGCAACGCCGCGUGAGGGACGACGGCCUUCGGGUUGUAAACCUCUUUUAGUAGGGAAGAAGCGAAAGUGACGGUACCUGCAGAAAAAGCACCGGCUAACUACGUGCCAGCAGCCGCGGUAAUACGUAGGGUGCGAGCGUUGUCCGGAAUUAUUGGGCGUAAAGAGCUCGUAGGCGGUCUGUCGCGUCUGCUGUGAAAACCCGAGGCUCAACCUCGGGCCUGCAGUGGGUACGGGCAGACUAGAGUGCGGUAGGGGAGAACGGAAUUCCUGGUGUAGCGGUGGAAUGCGCAGAUAUCAGGAGGAACACCGAUGGCGAAGGCAGUUCUCUGGGCCGUAACUGACGCUGAGGAGCGAAAGCGUGGGGAGCGAACAGGAUUAGAUACCCUGGUAGUCCACGCCGUAAACGUUGGGCGCUAGAUGUGGGGACCAUUCCACGGUUUCCGUGUCGCAGCUAACGCA
Molecule: ribosomal RNA, 494 nt
Filed under: uncultured bacterium
Lineage: Bacteria
Description: partial 16S ribosomal RNA
Rfam family: Bacterial small subunit ribosomal RNA
Source: RNAcentral